RNAcentral lists this long non-coding RNA (240 nucleotides) under Helianthus annuus (common sunflower). Its description in RNAcentral is "hypothetical non coding rna". The record is from RNAcentral. Lineage: Eukaryota; Viridiplantae; Streptophyta; Magnoliopsida; Asterales; Asteraceae.
UUUUGGGGGUGUGACAGAUUGGUAUCAGAGCCAUUGGUUAUAGAGAACUUGGUUUUAAUAUGGGAAAACGUUUUUAUUAAAACCAGACUAUAACCAGAACAGUGCUCUCAACGAUCCACAACGACGCUUCGCUCCAUGUGCAAGACUCAACAUCCUAGGUCGUUAGAUACAUGGAGCUUGCACAGGGAGGAGCUGGUCGUUGUGGGCUUGGAUCGUGAUUGUUUGUUAAACACUUUAUGA